GCGCCCGUAGCUCAAUUGGAUAGAGCAUCUGACUACGGAUCAGAAGGUUUGAGGUUCGAAUCCCCACGGGCGUG
RNAcentral lists this transfer RNA (74 nucleotides) under Akkermansia sp. Its description in RNAcentral is "tRNA-Arg". It matches the Rfam family "tRNA". Rfam says of the family: Transfer RNA (tRNA) molecules are approximately 80 nucleotides in length. Their secondary structure includes four short double-helical elements and three loops (D, anti-codon, and T loops). Lineage: Bacteria; Pseudomonadati; Verrucomicrobiota; Verrucomicrobiia; Verrucomicrobiales; Akkermansiaceae. The record is from RNAcentral. RNAcentral also lists the same sequence under 1 other name.